This is a long non-coding RNA of Oncorhynchus gorbuscha (pink salmon), 1267 nucleotides long. RefSeq lists it as uncharacterized. The record is from RefSeq and is a predicted model, not a curated record. The transcript has 2 exons. NCBI's taxonomy places the organism in Eukaryota, Metazoa, Chordata, Actinopteri, Salmoniformes, Salmonidae.
GAUGCACAUGAGCUCAAUUGAGAGGCUCAUUGCAAAGGGUCUGAAUACUGAUGUAAACAAGGACAGUGUGGUGGACUGUCAGCUUUCAGACCUUUGUGAGGAGGACACUAUAGAAGCUGUCCCCACGGUGACAAGGACAGGCAGAGACUGGACAACAUGCUGAUCCUGAAGAAAGGGCUGAGGGACAAUCACACCCUCACAGGACACACCCUCACUGCCCAAGUGAGCACAAUACAAUAAGCCAGGGUAACAGAACACACACACAGGACAGGACAGAAAGUUGAACAUUGACUGGCAGAGAAUCAACAUUUGGUUAGCCUUGACUAAGAUCUGUUUAUCCUAUUGUAUGAAUGUUGUCAUGCCAUGUUACCAUCGAAGUUGGCUAUACAUAGGAGUUGGCUAAAUGGCACCACACGAACAUUUGGCUGAACAGAAAGAAUGAAACUUCAAUGUACUGGAGGACUACUUUAGAAUAUGUUGGUGUUGUUACAGGAUAGAUAGAAAGGAGAAUAGAAUGUGGUUUGUUUGAGUAGCACCUGAAUGUGAGGGCAAGCGGUUAUGCAUAGCAGAGGACCAAAAUUGUUUUAGGUUGAGGCACUCCAGGUAGUUUGAAUCCGGUUACUAUUAGAGAUGUCUACAUUGAUGCCCCAUCUAAGAAAUAGGGUACCAUUUGGAACGCAUCCCUAGCAUUGAAAGAUGAUAAACUAUUGUUCCUCCUGUUCAGCCUGAACCUGGCAUUGGCCUACACUGAGCUGACAGAGGAGUGUAGGGCAGCCCCUGAAGGUACUCAUCAAUUUCAUGCAAGAAUUCCCUCUUUGUUGCCUUAGGAAUAAAUCUCUCUACUACAGGAGCUGGGUCGUGGCAGAGGUCUGGCUGUCAAACAGACUGAGAACUUGAGGAAGGCAUCCCACGAGCAGAUGGCUCAGUAUGUCCAGACACAUGAUGCAAAUAUUAAAGAUAAUGCUCCAUAUUGAUGUUGAAUAAAAUAGAUUGACUACUGUGCUCACACUGGUUUAGGGAAGUUAUAGAAAUGCUUGAUUCCAUGCCAACUGAUGCCUGUCCCCCUCCCCCACCCUCCAGGUCUAAGAUGCUGCCCAGCGUCGGUCAGAUCAAUGUUGAUUGCAAUAUCCCUUAGAUGAAUGUUGUAUAUACUGUAACAUUAUGGCUAUGAUGGAGAUAACUUGCACCUUUUUUUUACAGGUGUGAAUGAGACAAUGUAUUCCCCUAACCUUGUUCUUUCAAUAAAGUUCAUAUUUUAUUAAUUUUA